This 332-nucleotide ribosomal RNA is filed under the name uncultured bacterium. RNAcentral describes it as "bacterial SSU rRNA". It matches the Rfam family "Bacterial small subunit ribosomal RNA", at positions 72 to 422 of the family's 1533-position model. The record is from RNAcentral.
AGCCACCUUCGGGUGGUGGAAAGUGGCAGACGGGUGAGUAACGCGUGGGAACGUGCCUUUCGGUUCGGGAUAACCCAGGGAAACUUGGGCUAAUACCGGAUACGCCCUCCGGGGGAAAGAUUCAUUGCCGAAAGAUCGGCCCGCGUCGGAUUAGCUAGUUGGUGGGGUAAAAGCCUACCAAGGCGACGAUCCGUAGCUGGUCUGAGAGGAUGACCAGCCACACUGGGACUGAGACACGGCCCAGACUCCUACGGGAGGCAGCAGUGGGGAAUAUUGGACAAUGGGCGAAAGCCUGAUCCAGCCAUGCCGCGUGAGUGAUGAAGGCCCUAGGG